AAUAGAUACCCUGGUAGUCCUCGCCCUAAACGAUGGGUGCUAGUUGUUAGGAGUAUCGACCCUCUUAGUAACGAAGCUAACGCGUUAAGCACCCCGCCUGUGGAGUACGAGCGCAAGCUUAAAACAUAAAGGAAUUGACGGGGACCCGCACAAGCGGUGGAGCGUGUUGUUUAAUUCGAUGGUAAGCGAAGAACCUUACCCAGGCUUGACAUCCUGUGAAGCAUUGCGAAAGCAAAGUGUGCCUUUUGGAACACAGUGACAGGUGAUGCAUGGCCGUCGUCAGCUCGUGUCGUGAGAUGUUUGGUUAAGUCCAUCAACGAGCGCAACCCUUAUAGUUAGUUGAAUUUCUCUAGCUAGACUGCCCUGGUAACAGGGAGGAAGGGGGGGAUGAUGUCAGGUCAGUAUUUCCCUUACGUCUGGGGCUACAAACACGCUACAAUGGCCGGUACAAAGGGCAGCCAACCCGCGAGGGGAGCUAAUCCCAUCAAAGCCGGUCUCAGUUCGGAUUGCAGGCUGAAACUCGCCUGCA
RNAcentral lists this ribosomal RNA (529 nucleotides) under uncultured bacterium. Its description in RNAcentral is "bacterial SSU rRNA". It matches the Rfam family "Bacterial small subunit ribosomal RNA", at positions 777 to 1320 of the family's 1533-position model. The record is from RNAcentral.